RNAcentral lists this long non-coding RNA (3498 nucleotides) under Homo sapiens (human). Its description in RNAcentral is "long non-coding RNA NONHSAT150805.1". The record is from RNAcentral. Lineage: Eukaryota; Metazoa; Chordata; Mammalia; Primates; Hominidae.
AAAAAAAAAAAAAAAAAAGACCAGCCUGGCCAACAUGGUGAAACCCCGUCUCUACUAAAAAUACAAAAAUUAGCCAGGCAUGGUGGUUCACACCUGUAAUCCCAGCUACUUGGGAGGCUGAGACACAAGAAUCGCUUGAACCUGGGAGGCGGAGGUUGCAGUGAGCCAAGAUCAUGCCACUGCACUCCAGGCUGGGUGACAGAGCGAGACUCCGUCUCAAAAAAAAAAAAAAAAAAGCAAACAAAUGGCCAGACGCAGUGUCUCACACCUGUAAUCCCAGCACUUUGGGAGGCCGAGGCAGGUGGAUCACCUGAGGUCAGGAAUUCGAGACCAGCCUGACUAACAUGGAGAAACCCCACCUCUACUAAAAAUACAAAAUUAGCCGGGCGUGGUGGUGCCUGCCCUGUAAUCCCAGCUACUCGGAGGCUGAGGCAGGAGAAUCGCUCAAACCCGGGAGGCAGAGGUUGGGGUAAGCUGAGAUCUUGCCAUUGCACUCCAGCCUGGGCAACAAGAGCGAAACUCUGUCUCAAAAAAAAUAGUAAAAAUUAGGCCGGGUGCGGUGGCUCACGCUUGUAACCCCAGCACUUUGGGAGGCCGAGGCGGGCGGAUCAUGAGGUCAGGAGAUCGGGACCAUCCUGUCUAACACGGUGAAACCCCGUCUCUACUAAAAAUACAAAAAAUUAGCUGGGCGUGGUGGUGGGCGCUUGUAGUCCCAGCUACUUGGGAGGCUGAGGCAGGAGAAUGGCGUGAACUCGGGAGGCAAAGCGUGCAGUGAGCCAAGAUGGCGCCACUGCACUCCAGCGUGGGCGACAAAGCAAGACUCCGCUUCAAAAAAAAAAAAAAAAAAGUAAAUUAAAAUAAAUUAAAUAAAUUAAAAUAAUUAAAAUAAAUUAAAAUAAAUUAAAAUAAAAUUGUAGCAUUGUAUAAAUGAGUUAGCACUAAAGAUAAAAUAUAUACAAUUUAAGACAGUAUUAUAACGAUUAAGAAAAAAUCUGAGUAUAAAUUCUGAUAGUUCAGAGGAAGGCAAGAGAGGAUCCAGCACCGUGAGAAUGUCAUUAAUAUUGGGAGAAAUUCUCAAUUUAUUGAGACUGAAAGUCACCUAUGAGUAUCAAUUUAAUGAGGAAGUUGGAAGAAUUUGAUGCAGUUUCCUGUGUCACAUCAUGGCUCCAAUAGGAAUAUAUUAUUUAGCUAGUGACUGCUGCAACAAACCAAAGAUCACACCAGUAAUUCCCAGCUGGCUUGGAAUGUCAUAGCAUAUAUGGACAAUUAAUGUUUCCUGACUUACUGGAUCUGUUCUUUCAGCCCAUCUUGCACACAACUGCCAGAUUAAUAUUACUGCUUUUUAUGUUGAAUACCUCUGUUCAAAAAUCCUUUGUAGGACAAACACCUUAGCUUCACUGUCAAAGCUCUCUAUAAUCUGCUUCCCGUCUUAUCUCCCAUCAUUCCUUAAUAGGGUUUACUUCACCUAACCCUAUCUAUUCAUUCUUAACUAAAGAUAUCCAGCCAGGUGCAGUGGCUCAAGCCUGUAAUCCCAGCAUUUUGGGAGGCCGAGGCAGAAAGAUCGCUGGAGGCCAGGAAUUCAAGACCAACCUAGGCAAAAUGAAGAAACCUCAUCUCCACAAAAAAUAGACAUAAAAAAAUUAGCCAGUUGCUCCUGCAUGUGUCUGUCAGGUGAAUCCCUUGAAGUCAGGAGUUCAAGACCACCAUGGCCAACAUGGCAAAACCCCAUCUCUACUAAAUAUGCAAUAAUUAGCCGAGUGUGGUGGCACAUGCCUGUAGUCCCAGCUACUCAGGAGACUGAGGCAGGAGAAUCCCUUGAACCCAGGAGGUGGAGGUUGCAGUGAGCCAAGAUGGCGCCACUGCACUCCAGCCUGGGCAACGGAGCGAGACUCUGUCUCAAAAAAAAAAAAAAAAAAAAGAUAUCCUACAAGUUCUCACAUUCAUGCCUGUAUUCAUAAUAUGUCUGACAUGUUUCCCUAGCCACUCAUUAAAUUUGCUGUAUCUCUAACUUAAAGUUGUAAUUUCUUGCUGAAGACCUCUCCAAAUCAAAAUGUCUAUAAUAAAUAACAAUGUAACUAAAAGAAACAAACCAAUCCCCUUCACCCAGAUAGAAAACGAGUAAGAGAAUGGCCUUAGCUAAGUAUUUCGUAGAGACCUUACAAAGCAAAACUUAAAUAUGGCCUUUGGUUAACUAAUGGCCUUUCAAAGGCUAUGACUGACUUAAUACAAGGUCUUUUUGUUAUGCCUUACAGACCAAUUGCACUCUGCUGGUGAGACGCUGACUUCAUAGUAAGGCAGCUGGAAAACAUCUCUUUAACAUGGAUUCAUGGCAGGAUUUUUCCAAUUCAAAUAAUGUACCAUGUCCUUUAAAAGAAAAACAAUACUCUUGGACCUCUACUGUUGACCUAGUUUUUUUUGUUUUACUAAAUAUAUACUUAAUAUAUAAAAGGUAUACUUAAUGCAUAAAAAGGCAUGAACUCUGUAGGUGCUAUUAAUACCCUUGUUUAUUGGCUAUUCUCCCAUCCUAAUUCUUCCUAAUCACAGUUUAAUUUCCUUUUGGUGAAUUACCUCUCCCCAGUUGGGCACAGCCAAAGUAACCCAUACAGAAGCCAAGGGGUAUCAGGACAUUGUUAUAUCUUUCCUCUCAGUGACCUGUACAGUCAAAGGUUGGAUACAUGACCUAAUCUUGGCCAGUUGGACUGUCUCCAAGGAGAUUCUUGAGUGGAGAAAACGCUUCACUUAUCUGGCAGCAUAUGUUGGCCAAAUGGUACCUGUUGCUGUGGUUCUUUGUCUCAGUUCUUUGUCUUGAACCUGAACCCGGUUCUCCUGCCCUCCUAUUGUACUCUGAACUAUCUAAAAUCCUACUAAUAAGUUAGUCAGGCUGGGCGCAGAGGCUCAAGCCUAUAAUCCCAGCACUUUGGGAGGCUGAGGCAGGCAGAUCACCUGAGGUCGGGAGUUCAAGACCAGUCUGACCAACAUGGAGAAACCCUGUCUCUACUAAAAAUACAAAAUUAGCCAGAUAUGGUGGCGCAUGCCUAUAAUCCCAGCUACUCGGGAGGCUAGGGCAGGAGAAUCACUUGAACCUGGGAGGGGGAGGUUGCAGUGAGCUGAGAUCAUGCCACUGCACUCCAGCCUGGGCGACAAGAGCAAAACUCUGUCUCAAAUAAAUAAAUAAAUAAAUAAAUAAUAAGUUAGCCAGAUCUCCCAGCUACAUGAAGACAAAAAGAAAGCAAAAGAUUCUAUAAGAGAUUAUAUAGUAAGUUACUAUUUGUGAAAAAAAAAAAUAAGGCCAGAAGCGGUGGCUCACGCCUGUAAUCCCAGCACUUUGGGAGGCCAAGGUGGGCAAAUCACCAGGUCAGGAGUUUGAGACCAGCCUGGCCAACGUGGUGAAACCCCAUCUCUACUAAAAAUACAAAAAAAUAGCCGGGCAUGGUGGCGCGCGCCUGUAGUCCCAGCUACUUGGGAGGCUGAGGCAGCAGAAUUGCUUGAACCCGGGAG